AUACUUACCUGGCAGGGGAGAUACCAUGAUCAAGAAGGUGGUUCACCCAGGGCGAGGCUCAACCAUUGCACCCCGGCUGUGCUGACCUUUGCGAAUUCCCCAAAUGUGGGAAUCAUGACUGCAUAAUUUCUGGUAGUGGGGGACUGCGUUCGCGCUCUCCCCUG
This is a small nuclear RNA of Seriola lalandi dorsalis, 164 nucleotides long. Its record names the gene U1. It matches the Rfam family "U1 spliceosomal RNA". From Rfam's summary of the family: U1 is a small nuclear RNA (snRNA) component of the spliceosome (involved in pre-mRNA splicing). Its 5' end forms complementary base pairs with the 5' splice junction, thus defining the 5' donor site of an intron. The record is from Ensembl. NCBI's taxonomy places the organism in Eukaryota, Metazoa, Chordata, Actinopteri, Carangiformes, Carangidae.